Molecule: transfer RNA, 73 nt
Filed under: Cladosporium sphaerospermum UM 843
Lineage: Eukaryota; Fungi; Ascomycota; Dothideomycetes; Cladosporiales; Cladosporiaceae
Description: tRNA-Leu (AAG) (tRNA-Leu-AAG-2-1)
Rfam family: tRNA
About the family: Transfer RNA (tRNA) molecules are approximately 80 nucleotides in length. Their secondary structure includes four short double-helical elements and three loops (D, anti-codon, and T loops).
Source: RNAcentral
GGCACUUUGGCGGAGUGGUUAACGCGCUGCCCUGCUAAGGUCGGGAGCGUGUGUUCGAAUCACACAGGUGUCG